RNAcentral lists this unclassified non-coding RNA (377 nucleotides) under uncultured Parachlamydiaceae bacterium. RNAcentral describes it as "contains 16S-23S intergenic spacer region". Lineage: Bacteria; Pseudomonadati; Chlamydiota; Chlamydiia; Parachlamydiales; Parachlamydiaceae. The record is from RNAcentral.
UCCUGGUUAACCCAGGCAGUCUCAUUAGAGUUCCCACCUUAUAUGUUGGCAACUAAUGAUAAGGGUUGCGCUCGUUGCGGGACUUAACCCAACACCUCACGGCACGAGCUGACGACAGCCAUGCAGCACCUGUGCACCAGCCCCGAAGGGAAAUAACAUCUCUGCUAUCGUCUAGUGCAUGUCAAGCCUGGGUAAGGUUCUUCGCGUUGCAUCGAAUUAAACCACAUGCUCCACUGCUUGUGCGGGUCCCCGUCAAUUCUUUUGAGUUUCAGCCUUGCGACUGUACUCCCCAGGCGGUAUACUUAUCGCGUUAGCUACGGCACAACCAGGGUUGAUUCCGGUUACACCAAGUAUACAUCGUUUACGGCAAGGACUAC